Molecule: unclassified non-coding RNA, 234 nt
Filed under: Tetracladium marchalianum
Lineage: Eukaryota; Fungi; Ascomycota; Leotiomycetes; Helotiales
Also listed under: 2 other names
Description: partial internal transcribed spacer region
Rfam family: Eukaryotic small subunit ribosomal RNA (bases 1-46)
Source: RNAcentral
AAGUCGUAACAAGGUUUCCGUAGGUGAACCUGCGGAAGGAUCAUUACCGAGUUCAUGCCCUCGCGGGUAGAUCUCCCACCCUUUGUAUACUAUACCUUUGUUGCUUUGGCGGGCCGCCUAGCUACUGGCUUCGGCUGGUAAGUGCCCGCCAGAGGACCCAAAACCCUGAAUAUUAGUGUCGUCUGAGUAAAAUUUUAAUAUUUAAAACUUUCAACAACGGAUCUCUUGGCUCUG